CCUAAGCGAAAAAAACUGGAAGUAUAAAGGAAAACUGGGUGUAGAUCAGCUCUCACACAAACUAAACAGUUGACGUUCCAUUGGAUUAGGGUGAUUUGCCUAGCCUAACUGUCUGGCAUUAUAAUUUUUGAAGAAAGAACAUCAUUUGGAGCUCUAAACAAUCUUUUAUUUUUUAUAGAAUAAGGUCCAGCAUUCAAUUAAAAUACUAUAGUCUAUUAAGACAACAGAAAAAUGACCAAAAAAUCACUUAAAAACAACAUAUGCUGAUCCAUGGAGGAUACUGAUACUACACAGAUAUUGGAUUUAUCACACACUUUAAAUACUAUAUUAAAUAACCAAAGAUGAUAACAAGAUGGAGACUGAAAUAGAGAAUUAAAAUCCAUGAAAAAGAAUAGAGAGAAAUUCUAGGACUGAAACAUAUAAUAAAUAAAACUUAAAUUCAAUAAUGAACCAGAAUGUAAUUUGUUAGAAAUAUCUAUAAUGACAGAAUGGCAAUCCUCAAGAAUACAAACAACACUAAAUGUUGGUGAGGAUAUGGAGAGACAGUACAUUCAAACGUGGCUGGUGGGACUACAAAUUGGUAUAACCACCAAUGGAAAGCAGUAUGGAGAGUCCUCAGAAAACUUGAAAUAGAACCACCAUUUGACCCAGUUAUCCCACUCCUUGGCAUAUACCCCAAAGACUUAAAAAUCAGCAUACUAUAGUACCAUGGCCACAUCAAUGUUCAUAGCAGCUCAAUUUACAAUAGCCAAGCUAUGGAACCAACCUAGAUUCCCUUCAACAGAUGCAUACAUAAAGAAAAUGUGGUAUAUAUACACAAUGGAAUAUUACUCAGCCUUAGGAAGAAUGAAAUUAUGAUAUUUGCUGGUAAAUGGAUGGAGCUGGAGAAUAUUAUGCUAAGUGAAAUAAGCCAAUCCUAAAAAAUCAAAGGCCAGAUGUUUUCUCUGAUAUGUGGAUACUAAUUCACAAUAAGGUAGAGGGGUGCUAGGGAAGAACAGAGGUACUUUUAAUUAGAGGGAAGUUAAGAGAGAGGAGGAAGGAUAGUAGAAUGAAUUGGACAUUCUUACUCUGUGCAUAUAUGAUUACACAACUGGUGUUAUUCUAUAUCAUGUACA
RNAcentral lists this long non-coding RNA (1115 nucleotides) under Marmota monax (woodchuck). Lineage: Eukaryota; Metazoa; Chordata; Mammalia; Rodentia; Sciuridae. The record is from RNAcentral.